GAUGAACGCUGGCGGCGUGCUUAACACAUGCAAGUCGAACGAUGAAGCCCAGCUUGCUGGGUGGAUUAGUGGCGAACGGGUGAGUAACACGUGAGUAACCUGCCCUUAACUCUGGGAUAAGUCUGGGAAACUGGGUCUAAUACCGGAUAGGAGCGUCCACCGCAUGGUGGGUGUUGGAAAGAUUUAUCGGUUUUGGAUGGACUCGCGGCCUAUCAGCUUGUUGGUGAGGUAAUGGCUCACCAAGGCGACGACGGGUAGCCGGCCUGAGAGGGUGACCGGCCACACUGGGACUGAGACACGGCCCAGACUCCUACGGGAGGCAGCAGUGGGGAAUAUUGCACAAUGGGCGAAAGCCUGAUGCAGCGACGCCGCGUGAGGGAUGACGGCCUUCGGGUUGUAAACCUCUUUCAGUAGGGAAGAAGCGAAAGUGACGGUACCUGCAGAAGAAGCACCGGCUAACUACGUG
Molecule: ribosomal RNA, 466 nt
Filed under: uncultured bacterium
Lineage: Bacteria
Description: partial 16S ribosomal RNA
Rfam family: Bacterial small subunit ribosomal RNA
Source: RNAcentral